CUGACUUUGUGCUUUGCUCCCAUCUGUAAUGACUCUGAAUUUAUGUUUUUUGUAUCAUGUCUUGUUGUGUCUUUGUUUUGAUUUUCCAUGCCCCUCUGUGUCCUUUAAGUUUCUAUGUUCUCCCCUCUGUCUGUUGUAUUGUUCCCUUCACGUUUUCUCAUGUGCUCCUCCCCCUCAUUACCACACCUGGCCUCCUCCCUCCUCACCUGUUCCUCGUCUGUUCAUCAGCGUCUGUGUUUUUAGUCUGUGUCUUCCCUUCACUCCUUGUCCGAUCAUUGUAUUCUGUCUGUCUCUGUCUGCGUCAGCCUCCGGUCAUGCGCCUGCUCCUGUUCAUGUCAUGUCCUCCCAGUCUCCCCAUGGACUAACCACAAACACAGAUGAAUAUGGAAUACAUUGCAGUCCUGCACCGGCAUACUUUGGUUUUAAGCAUAUGACUGCUCACUUUAAAGUGAGCUCCUGGGCCCCUUCACCUGGAAAAGGUCUAAUCAUAUUUGGCUACAUCUCUGGAGAGGAUAGCGAGGACAGACGCUCAGCUGCAUUCAUUCAAAUGGAUGGAACGAUGCAACUCUCCGGUUACAUCAGCGCCUUCUGCACCCAAGGCCACUGAUCCCUCCAGUCAACAUGGUGGACAGGAGGUCGUCUGGCUCGGGCUCCACUUGGUGAUGCCUCGUCCUGCUCGGUCGUCUCCUGGUUCCACUAACAUUGCAUAACUUGUAUCAGAUCUUCUGUUGAUGUACCUUGUAAACUGUGAAUUGUUGCUCUUUUCUGUACACGCAACAUCUAUUGCAUGUCUGUCCGUCCUGGAAGAGGGAUCCCUCCUCUGUGGCUCUUCCUGAGGUUUCUUCCAUUGUUUUUUUUUUACCCUGUUAAAAGGUUUUUUUUCCAUCAACAUGUGAAGUUUUUCCUCACUCGAAUCGAGGGUCUAAGGACAGAGGAUGUUGUUCACUGUACAGAUUGUAAAGCCCACUGAGGCAAUGUGAUUGUGAUUUUGGGCUAUAUAAAUAAAAUUGAUUUGAUUUGAUUUGAUUUGUAUACACUAUUAUCACAACACUUUUGUGUGCCCGGCUUUUCCUCUUUGAGGUGAGUUAGGGAAAAGG
RNAcentral lists this long non-coding RNA (1097 nucleotides) under Sparus aurata (gilthead seabream). RNAcentral describes it as "lncRNA (ENSSAUG00010017992.1)". Lineage: Eukaryota; Metazoa; Chordata; Actinopteri; Spariformes; Sparidae. The record is from RNAcentral.